CUUGUUUGUCUUCCAGAGAGCAUGUAAUUUUGUCAUCACAAGAUAAUUAAAGAUGAAAAAACUCCAGCAGAGCAGGAUGCUCCCACAGCACAGUCCGGUGGAAGGAUCCCGAACCCUGGCCUCCUCCGCCGAGGCCUGGUAAACUCUGCUCAACUCGCGUGUCUUCGUCUGCCUAUCCGGUGCUUUCUGAUUCAGAGGCCCGGGGGAGGGGGGUGAUGGUGGCAGUGCCCCCUCCCGAGCCUGACCUAGCACCUGUGCCCUUGAACCCAUCCUCGUCAGCCAUCUCUGAGGAUUAAGUUUUUCAGAUCCGUUCCUGUUACUACGUGUACGUGUAAUCCAUUGCUUCUGAUCACUGCGGGAUAUGCCAGGAUGCACCUCCACCGUCCUGAACCAUGACCCCUGUGCCAGUGACAAACUUCCAGAGUGCCUGGGCAUCCCCGCCCUCAUAAAUUGGACUGGGACAAACACCUCGUGCAUCUCCCUCGUGGCUCUCCCUCAUGGACCUGUCUGAGUCAUUUCAUGGGAUUCAUGUUGUGCAAAAAGGAGUUCACAUGGCAGGGCUGACUGCUUCUCCCUAGAAAGGCCAGCUACCCAGGCUGGCCCUUGACUGUGCCUGGGAAUCAGGAUUUGGAGAGGGUUCCCACCAUUCCCUACCUGAUGAGAAUGGCUCACUGUACCUAGACUCUUUACGUAAACAGUGGGGUUCAUGCUUAACUCUUGCUUUCUUUCUGGGAGGUAAGAAUGUUGGUACAUGCCAGGCAAAGUGUGCCUACCUGAGCAACCCCCCACCCCCAGCGUGGCCAGUCCGUAACGGGAUUCCCUGGUAGACACCCUUUCGCACAUGUCAUCACUACACAUUGCUGGGGGGAGUUAGGCACGUCCUGUGUGACCCCAAGAGAAAAGUAGUCUUGGAAGCUUAUGCCUGGUCUCCCUUGGGCUUGGCCCCAUGCACCUUUUCCCUGUGCUGAUUGGGCUUCAUGUCCCUUCACAGUGAUAAAUCUGAGCCAUGAAGACAACUAUAUCCUGCGUCUGGUGAGCCCUCCAAGUGAAUGAGCCUCUUCUCUCUUCCCACAUCGACUUGGUAAAUCAUUUGGAUUUGGCUUUUCUGUGUCACGGAGUCCCUGACCUUAUUCUGCCUUGAACGCCAUUCUCUUCCUUCAUUUACUUCAAAACUGGAUUCACUGUUCACCUACAGAAAUUUCCACCACCUGGAGGAAGUUUCUAGGGAGCCAGGGGGAUGCCCCCUCCAAAGUGAAACACCAGCUGGAACCCCUCGUACCACUUAACCAUCAAGAAAAAGGCGCGGUAUUUCAUAUUGAAACAGUGGAAUAAAGUUCCCUUCUUUCCUUCUAGGCUCUCGACUGAGACCCCCUUGUAGUACAGGACAGAGUAACAGGAGAAAAACAAACAGAAGUUUAAUAACAUGCGUACCUCCCGUAUACAUGAGACACCCAGGAAAACUGAGUAACUCCCCAAAAUGGCAGAAGCCAGCCCCUUAAAUACCACCUCCAAUGACAGACAAAAGCUGCUGGGCGUGGGGAGUCAGUUAGGGGAGCUGAUCCGAAAAAGCACAGUCAACAGGGGUAAGGUUGUUACACAGAUUAAAGUCACGGCCAUCUCUAUAGGUGAGCUUCUAAGGAUUCAGAGUCAUCUCCCUCUUCCUGGUACAGCCAGAGAGACACACUUGCGAACGGAGAUGUCUCUGACACCUGUAAACCUCUCUUAUAAAACGGUGGCUGGCGGCUCCUGAGUUCCCUGAGCGGCGGUUGUUGGCAGUUCCUUGAAAAUAAUCUGCCUAUCAGGAUUCCUUAUGCCAAAGAGACAUAUUUUGGGGUGGCAAAUGAUAACGCCCAAAGUGUCAUUUUGGACUCUAGAAGCAACACGCAGCCCAUUCUAGGUGAGACAGCCACUCCGAGCGGACCCAGAAUAAGAGACAGCUCAGCUGGGGUUAAGGCUCUAGUACCAGCCUCUCUGCUCUGAUGUUCUCAAAAGUCCCUCUGGAUGGAGAUGCUGUGCAGAGCACCUGGCAAGCGCAGAGAAGAGACUCACACACAGACCCUCAGGGUUUGAAGCAAGCUUGUGCCCUGAUCUGCAGCAGGAUGCCUGAUCACGGAACAUCCUCAAAAUUUUGGUUCACUGCUUACUUUUAAGAAACUUCCCAUAGACAACCACACUCUGUGGCCUCGAGUUUCUUGCACUGAAUCUGUGUUUUCUUCCGCUGGGUUUGGAGCCAUUUGCCUUGCUCAGCGAUCCACCAGUGCUGACUUUGUCUUCGAACUGGUUGUGUGAUAUUGAGCAAAUGAACUCAUCAGUUGAAAAGUGAGAGUAAGGGAUGCCCGGGUGGCUCAGUUGGUUAAGCGGCUGCCUUCGG
Mustela erminea (ermine) is the source of this 2371-nucleotide long non-coding RNA. RefSeq lists it as uncharacterized. Lineage: Eukaryota; Metazoa; Chordata; Mammalia; Carnivora; Mustelidae. The transcript is spliced from 3 exons. The record is from RefSeq and is a predicted model, not a curated record.